Molecule: unclassified non-coding RNA, 1171 nt
Filed under: Bactrocera latifrons
Lineage: Eukaryota; Metazoa; Arthropoda; Insecta; Diptera; Tephritidae
Description: uncharacterized LOC108978118, transcript variant X1
Source: RNAcentral
AAUCUUUACAUUUAUUAAACUGUAUAAAUAUAUACAUAUAUACACAUAUGUAUACAUGUAUAAGCUAUGAAUACUGAGCCAAGUUCAAGUUGAGAUACUGAGAUGAGAUGCUAUCGGAGUUAACUUGAGUGGCAGUGGACUUUCUCUGAUGCAAGCUUAAAAGAGCGCACGGCAUAUCUAUUUAAAUGAAACAAAUGAAAAUGCGUGUAUAAUAUGUCUCCUAACUUGUAUCUUUAUUUCUAGUUGGCUCGGCAGUUAAAUCUCGUUCGAGUGUCUUUUCAGCUUGCUCUUUCAACUCACCAAGCAAAAUGUUACUUAUGCACAGGGGAGCACUGAGCAGCAAAACAGUCGAGCAAAGCUUAUGGACGUGUGAAGAUUUGGAGACAACCUGGCAUUAUUAUAAUUGAGCUAAAAUAAAAUGUUGUUUACAAAUAGUUGCUGUCUUUACGCAGUGGUGUUAAUGUUAACCGUCCCAACAUACAGCGCGCCCACCGAGCAGCGCAGAGUGGCAUUCAGCAGCAAACAACGAGCGAGGCGUCAAAUUUUCUCUAACUUCGGUGGCGACAAACCUUUCUUCACACCAGUGGACUUUAUUUUUGGACCAAAGCCCUUUCCGCGACCGCAGUGGGGACGCCCCGGUCCAGGCGAGCCGCUGAUUUUUAGCAAUGAUAGGAGAGAAGCACCCACCAGCACAACAACUACCACACCAUCACCAUCUAACGGUCAAGAAGCAAACAACAUUGCUGCACCAAACGUCGUUUUCAUUAACAAUCAACCCAUUGUUGCAACCAUAGUACCGUUUACAGCGCCGACGACGGCUUCGCCCCAAUUCUUGAACUGUUUUGGCAGCUGCCCCACCACUUCCGAGUACAAUCCGAUAUGUGCGAGUAAUCAGCAGCAAUAUCAGAAUCCGCAGAAGUUCGACUGUGCGCGGCAAUGCGGUGCAGAUAUCCAGAUUGUACGGCGUGGCGCUUGCGAAGGUCUCUUUCCAAUGCAACGUGGGUAACUUCAAUGCAAUACAAUGAGGAUACCUGGGUAUAAAUGUAUAUCUAUUCAUAUGAGUGAUAGCUCUUUCGUUGAUAAUAAUUUGUUUUAAAUAUUCAGCGUUCUUGUUAUAUACGCCAACAGUCAAUAAAAAUGGUGAUACCCGUUUUUUAUAUACAUAUAUAUA